This 446-nucleotide ribosomal RNA is filed under the name uncultured bacterium. RNAcentral's name for it is "partial 16S ribosomal RNA". It matches the Rfam family "Bacterial small subunit ribosomal RNA", at positions 338 to 795 of the family's 1533-position model. The record is from RNAcentral.
CCUACGGUGUGCUGCAGUCGAGAAUCAUUCACAAUGGGGGAAACCCUGAUGGUGCGACGCCGCGUUGGGGACUGAAGGUCUUCGGAUUGUACACCCCUGUCAUGUGGGAGCAAAUUAAAAAGAUAGUACCACAAGAGGAAGAGACGGCUAACUCUGUGCCAGCAGCCGCGGUAAUACAGCGGUCUCACGCGUUGUUCGGAAUCACUGGGCGUAAAGCGUGCGUAGGCUGUUUCGUAAGUCGUGUGUGAAAGGCGCGGGCACAACCCGCGGACGGCACAUGAUACUGAGAGACUAGAGUAAUGGAGGGGGAACCGGAAGUCUCGGUGGAGCAGUGAAAUGCGGAGAUAUCGAGAGGAACAAUCGUGGCGAAGGCGGGUGCCGGGACAUUAACUGACGCUGAGGCACGAAGGCCAGGGGAGCGAAAGGGAUUAGAGACCCCUGUAGUC